Molecule: ribosomal RNA, 253 nt
Filed under: uncultured bacterium
Lineage: Bacteria
Description: partial 16S ribosomal RNA
Rfam family: Bacterial small subunit ribosomal RNA
Source: RNAcentral
UACGUAGGUGGCAAGCGUUGUCCGGAAUUAUUGGGCGUAAAGCGCGCGCAGGCGGUCCUUUAAGUCUGAUGUGAAAGCCCACGGCUCAACCGUGGAGGGUCAUUGGAAACUGGGGGACUUGAGUGCAGGAGAGAAGAGUGGAAUUCCACGUGUAGCGGUGAAAUGCGUAGAGAUGUGGAGGAACACCAGUGGCGAAGGCGGCUCUCUGGACCAGCACUGACACUGAGGCACGAAAGCGUGGGGAGCAAACAGG